Molecule: ribosomal RNA, 113 nt
Filed under: Epipedobates anthonyi
Lineage: Eukaryota; Metazoa; Chordata; Amphibia; Anura; Dendrobatidae
Description: partial 16S ribosomal RNA
Source: RNAcentral
GCUAAAAAUUUAGCCCCACCCAUCCGCAUAUUCUUUCCGUACUUAUUCCUAUAAACUAAAACAUUUUUUAUAUUUAGUAAAGGCGAUUAAAAAAUUUUUAUGGAGCAAUAACC